GACGAACGCUGGCGGCGUGCCUAAUACAUGCAAGUCGAACGCUUCUUUUUCAUCGAACUUCGGUUCACCGAAAGAGAGGAGUGGCGAACGGGUGAGUAACACGUGGGUAACCUGCCCAUUAGAGGGGGAUAACACUUGGAAACAGGUGCUAAUACCGCAUAACGCUGUUUUUCGCAUGAAAGACAACUGAAAGGCGCUUUUGCGUCACUAAUGGAUGGACCCGCGGUGCAUUAG
This 234-nucleotide ribosomal RNA is filed under the name uncultured bacterium. RNAcentral describes it as "partial 16S ribosomal RNA". It matches the Rfam family "Bacterial small subunit ribosomal RNA", at positions 28 to 244 of the family's 1533-position model. The record is from RNAcentral.